GAUAACAGUGACGAAUCCUUACAUAGUUACAGAUCUGUGAUGAUUGUUGCAAGAAGAUCGCAUCAUUCAAAGCACAUCUAAGCUGAGCUGUC
Non-coding RNA from Zea mays, 92 nucleotides. Lineage: Eukaryota; Viridiplantae; Streptophyta; Magnoliopsida; Poales; Poaceae. The record is from Rfam.